AGGAAAUGUAGCACCAUUUCACGGUUAUUAGCUAUUUGGAUUUCCUGGCUUGUGAAUUACUGGUUAAGCCUUUUGACAGUUUUUCUGUUGAGUUCUCUCUCUUUUUCAAAAUAAUUUGUAGCAUUUUAAAAAUAUAUUCUAGAUAUAAGCCCUUUGUCAGUUUUACAUGUUGCAGAUAACUUCUCUCAGUCUGUGGCUUGCUUUUUCACUCUUUUCAUGCUACCUUUCAAAAACUAGGAAUUCUUCAUUUUUAUAUAGUACAGCUUGCCCAUCUUUUCCUUAUGCUUAGUGUUUUUCAUGUCAUGUUUAAGAAAUUUUUCCCUACCUUUAGGUCAUGAAGAUAUUCUCCUAUAUGAUCUUCUGAAAGCUUUAUAGUUUUACCUUUAACAUAUAAGUCCUUAAUCCAUCUGGACUUGAUUUUUGUGUUGAUGCGAAAUAAGAGUCCUAUUUCAUUUUCUAUCCUGUGGAUACCUCAGUAUCCCUGCACAAUUGAUUGAGAAGACUAUCCCUUCUCCACUCCUGUGCAGUGUCUCCUCUGUUAUAAAUUAAACUUUACGUAUGCAUGGCUGUAUCUCUGGGCUCACUCUUCUACUCCAUCAUUCUAUUUGUCUUGCCUUAUACCAAUACCAUGGCAGGCAGAAGUCUCUCAACAGCUAUUGACCCAGGCUGUGCUCAUUAGGGAUUAGAAGGAUAAAAGUUAGCUAUAGUCAGAUUAGAAGGAUCUUAAAAAUCAAUUGGAAAAGCCUGGACCUGACCUGAGGAGCAAAGGAGUGCGCCAGCAUGUUACAGAGAAGAGAGAUUAUGAAUGAGCACCUUAGGAAGAUAAAUUUGGGAGUCAAGGUAAGUCUCAGUAUGGGGCUAAGAAAAGAAUAUAGAGGUCAUUGUAGUGGUCCAAGGCUGAGAUCACAGGGAGCGUGGAUGAAGGAGGUGGCAGUGGAACCAAAAAGGAAGGGAUGCAUCCAAGAGACAUUUAGAAGAGAAAGCUGAAAUGAUGGCACUUUGUUACGAGUCCAUGUAAGAGGGAGGGGAUUAGAAAGGGCAAAAUGGCCUGGAAACUGAGGGGUGAUUCUGGUUUGAUGAAAGAGACCCAUAAAGUAGUUGGUGGAGUAUGUUUUCCACCAUUCAAUCCUAAAAGUUCAAUUUGUGUUCCCAAGAGUCAAUCAGAGAAGUCCUGACUGUAUAAAGAUCAUCUUGACAAGGCUGUUGAGCAGGGAUACACCGCCCAUGGCUUGGACUUUUGAGAUUUGAAGUGAGACUUUGGGCCAUAUUCAGGCCCCCUUAGGCAUUGUUGAUUGGAUCUGCUUUGCAUUCUGAACACAAUUUGAUCAUAAGGACAUCCUGAAGCAUAUGAUUUAAUCACUAAGCAACUGUGUUUACAAGGCAAAGUUCAUUCAUAUUAAAACAGCAGCAGCCAGAAAAAUAGCCACCAAAACUAAUGGAAAAAACAAAACUUAAAAACAAAAACAAAAAACAGCUAGCUCUGGGUUAAGUCAUGGAACUCUAUGAACUUAAACAUCCAAAAGGUACUUUGAAUAUUCGUAAAUACAUGUAAACACUCGUUUUAUUCUGUUGACCUAAUAUAUUUAAAUGCAUGUAGCAUUCUUCCUUGCACUCUCCUACCCCUGCUGAUAUACACCAAAGCAUUCAGGUCUAAUAUUAUUACUGAAAAGCCAAAAGCAUAUUUCCAGAUACUGAAUGUGUAUAAAAAGCAGAUGAAGCAAGUCCCUUGAGAAAAUAAAGUCCCAUAGAUUAUGUUGUGAAAAGACAAAAAUAGUGUUUGCAACUCAAUUACAUCACCAAUUGGGUUUUUAAAAAGAGACCAUACACAUUUUAGGUCAUGAAAUCAUUCCCUUAAUCCUUUAAACAACAAAUCAAAUUAAAAUUUAAGAUAAGAUUCACUUGGUUAAAAAUGAUAUGGAAAGCAUUGGCAAAUAAUUAAAAGGGAUUUGGUAACGUAAUAACUAGCUAAUUUAAGCACACAUUUAAUAAAGAAUGGGUUAUGGGAGGAGUUAGUGUUUGUGUUUUUUUCCCAUAGGAAGAAAAAAAGCCUGUCAUUCUUUGUAAGUACUACUGAUGUUUGCAGAAGAAAUCUAAGGUGCUAUGAGAGCAUGUGAGCGCAUCCUGGGCGGCAGGUGUGGAGUAAGCCAAUCUAGACCCUGGAGAUGUCCCCUGAAAGACUGCCAGAGUCCACAGUCAAAGGAGGCGAAAAUGCAGCAUUUCCAGGAAGUUGUCAUCUUGAAGUUUCUGGAGCCACCUCUCAUUUGUUCUGUAGUGUGAGAGCCAAUGCUGACUUUUCUUCUGGGUCUCAGCAAUCCUAUGCUCAAGCGGUUCAACUUACACAGAUACAUCAGCAAAUAUAUGUUCAGGACAAGAAGGUUGUGAAGCAAGAAAACGAAUGAAAUCCCAACGAUCAGGGGGAUGUUAAAGGAGCUUUACUACCCAUUGGCAAAUGUUAACAAAGAUUCCUGGAAAGAAGUUCAGUUAGCACAGCGCUGAGGGGCACUCUUCUUCCUUUGGCCUCCGUUUCACAGAGUACUUGCCUGAGAGGGGCCCCUUCGGGCCCCGUGGCCAGGCAGUGCCCUGAUAGCGCCCGCCUUCUCCAAGCCUCACUUGUGCAUUGGCAAAGCUUUCUGCAGCCUUAAUCCCAUCACCUCCUGCCAGCCGUGUUGUGAGCCUGCCUUUCCUCUUAGCAUCUCCCUCUUGGCAGACUGGCGAGCGAGUGAGCAAGGGCAAUGCUUGUCUGCAGCCACUCAGCUAGUCCAUGCAGAAGCCAGGAAGUGAUCUUAGAGCUGUCUGACUACAGAUCCUUGGCCUCUCCCUCUGUGGUCUGAGGAAAAUUCCCCUGACCUCAGCCUUGAGUCACCUCUGAGGUCGAGAGGUCUGCGGAGGCAGAGGAAGGCUGGGACACACCAGUGCACACCAGCUCAGCCAUCUCCUGGCUCAGGAGCAUCUCUAGAGCUUGCCGACACAUCUCAGUUGGCAAC
Molecule: long non-coding RNA, 2984 nt
Filed under: Homo sapiens (human)
Lineage: Eukaryota; Metazoa; Chordata; Mammalia; Primates; Hominidae
Description: HSALNT0287327
Source: RNAcentral